GAUAAACGCUAGCGGCAGGCUUAAUACAUGCAAGUCGAACGGGAUUGAGAAGCUUGCUUUUCAUGAGAGUGGCGCACGGGUGCGUAACACGUAUGCAACCUGCCUUGUCCAGGGGGAUAGCCCGUUGAAAGACGGAUUAAGACCGCAUAACAUCAUUGAAUGGCAUCGUUUAAUGAUCAAAUAUUUAUAGGGACAAGAUGGGCAUGCGUCUGAUUAGCUAGUUGGCGGGGUAAUGGCCCACCAAGGCGACGAUCAGUAGGGGAUCUGAGAGGAUGACACCCCACACUGGUACUGGGACACGGACCAGACUCCUACGGGAGGCAGCAGUAAGGAAUAUUGGUCAAUGGGCGCAAGCCUGAACCAGCCAUGCCGCGUGCAGGAAGACGGCCCUACGGGUUGUAAACUGCUUUUAUACGGGAAUAACCCCGGUUUCGUGAAACCGGCUGAAUGUACCGUAAGAAUAAGGAUCGGCUAACUCCGUGCCAGCAGCCGCCGCCG
This 498-nucleotide ribosomal RNA is filed under the name uncultured bacterium. RNAcentral describes it as "partial 16S ribosomal RNA". It matches the Rfam family "Bacterial small subunit ribosomal RNA", at positions 28 to 523 of the family's 1533-position model. The record is from RNAcentral.